This 891-nucleotide long non-coding RNA is filed under the name Ailuropoda melanoleuca (giant panda). Its description in RNAcentral is "lncRNA (ENSAMEG00000031414.1)". The record is from RNAcentral. Lineage: Eukaryota; Metazoa; Chordata; Mammalia; Carnivora; Ursidae.
CGUGGGAAACUUGCCCCCGCGUGUCGAGGGUAAAUCUUCACGGGUGAUGUCUUGCCCAACACGAGGGGGUAUUUUCAUUCUGGUUGUUCAUAGGUACUGCCGUCGGGAAUCACCGGCUUGGUUGCACUUCCUGAAAUGCUUCCAGAUUUUCUCAGCAGCGUCAUGUAAAAUGACACAGCGUGCCGAAGGACGGAAAGGUGCUUGUCGGACACACUCGGCAAAUCUUCCGAGCACAGCGGAGUGAAGUUUGCAAAACAGGCUGGAGGAAAUUCUGCUCAUCAUUUUAGCCUGCGUUCAUGCUGACUCCACCGGCCACGUGCAAGCAGCCUCCAGGAAUGCAAACCAGGUCUCUUCGAGGGCAUUUCCGGGGGAAGCUGCUUGAGAAGGCAGAAUGAAAGAGCAUCCUUUAAAAGCUCCUUCUGAGCUCUGUGGGCUGGUGGGACCCAGCCCUUCAGUGGGUCCCCCAAGGACAUUUUCCAGAGGAUUCCUCUCACCUGUGGAUGCAUGCAGCCAGGAUACCAGCCCCCGGCAAGCGCUCACCUGCAUUCAGACCCUACGCGUGAAUUUCGCUGAGACGCAGAUGGAAUCACACACUACGUGGCCUUCCGUGUGCAGACAUUCGUGCCCUCCGGCUAAUCCAAGUGUCAACAGGACCCCAUAAAUCUGAUCGUUGUACUCUCCACUUUAGCGACUUUACCUUUAACUUCCGACUCUUGAUUUCAGCUCAGGUCAUGAUCUCUGGGUCGUGAGAUGGAGCCCCACGGGCGUGGGGCUCCAUGCUGAGUGUGGAAUCUUCUUGAGAUUCUCUCUCUCCCUCUCCCCUUCCCCGCCCUCUGCUGAGCUCUCUCUCUGUCUCUAUCUCUAAAAAAUAAAUUAAUUAAUUAAAGGUGC